This is a long non-coding RNA of Pan troglodytes (chimpanzee), 14135 nucleotides long. RefSeq lists it as uncharacterized. Lineage: Eukaryota; Metazoa; Chordata; Mammalia; Primates; Hominidae. The record is from RefSeq and is a predicted model, not a curated record. The transcript has 3 exons.
CCUUUUUGUUUGCCAACAUGGGAUAAAGCAGCAAGAAAGCACUUGCCAGAUAUGGGUCCUUGAACCUUGGACUGCCCAGCCUCCAGAACUCAUCCCUUACGCCAUACUUUGGUAAAUACUGUUCAUGGUCUUAGAAAUGCCAAGCAAGCAGACAGCAGGAAACUAGUGAUCUAGAAUCAGCAAGAAACCUCUAAGGGAAAAUAUACAAAGCAAGUUUGGUGGAACAAACUACAGGCCCCACCUCUGAAGCUGACCUUGAAUCCUCAGCUGUUGCUAUUGUUAUCCUCUCCGGUGCAUUCUAAAGUUCCCUCACUCUUCCAAGAACCCUUGACUAUGCUUGCCUUGAUCGCUUAUCUAAUUGUGACCCAGAAUGUCAUCCCUGAGAGGUCUGACUUCCUGAUCACCAUGUCCUUCUUAGUCCAUGACCACUGUACUUGUCAAUUUUCUGUCAAGAUAUGGCAAGGAGGUACCAAAAGACACCCCAGUGAUUAUACUCUUCCCUGUCAUGGUAAAAACUGUGUAUCUGCAGCCCCACUGCUCUAACAAGAUGGUGGUUUCUUUCCUUGCUUGUUGACUUCUUCAUUCAAGAAGCCUACAGUGGCUGAGUGGCAGCUAAAUCUAAAAGGUUAUUGGGAAACUCACUGUGUCCCUUGCUGGAAGCAUUCCCUCCUUGGGAAGCAGGACCUCUGGAGCCACAGAAUCCAGAUUUGUAGAGAUGAAAAGCACAGAAAACCCAAAUGGGACACUUGGAGUGAUGGUUAAGUGGGACCACUCAUAUAUCAAUUGUCUUAUUGCUGCACAAACGUAUUCUGCCUCCUAGGGACACAGAAACACUGUAUUGGUUAAAGCUGUUUAUUUCAUCUUAUAAAAUGGCACCCCAUCCGUGCAGGGCAUUGUACCUAAGCCAGUAUCUCAGUUGUACCUUGAAGAGCCUGUCCCAUUGCUGUAUAUGUAUAGCAGUUUCUGGUAGGUGCCAAAUGUGUAGGACCAGUGGGUCCCAUCUACAUGUCACCACUGUCACACCUCCUUGGCUGUUCUGUGAGUCCCUUUGUCUAGUGCAACAUUAUAAAGGAUGCCAUGGUGGUAGAUUACUCUAUGAGCUGCCAUAGUGGUUCUAGCUGAGACCCUGUGAAAAGGAACAGUAAAUCUUCACAUGGAAAAUACUUUUGAUUUCAGUCAAAAUAAGUUAUUUGCCCUUUCAAAGUAGAAGUACAAUGCAGACAACAUUCCACCAAAUAGCUGGUUGGUCUCCUUGAGCAGUUGUGCCAUACUGGGGACCCAGCUGUUGUCUCUAUUGCUUCUAGGUUGUAGUUUUGAAAGUGGCAGUAGCUAUAUCAAUUCUGAAGAAUGAGAUCCCAUGCUUUCAGAUCCAUGUAUCACCCACAGCUACUCUCUUCUUGAGCCCAUCAUGCUAGCAAUGGGAUGCCUGAUAACAGAGGAUAGCUAAUAUUAAAUGGUUGUUUGAUACCUCCUGUGUACUAGAUGGUCUCUGAUAAACCUUAACAUGAAAUACAAAGAUCUUCAUACCCUGGCCACUCCCAUAGGUUCACAUACAUACCUUUUCCCCAGUCUUUCUGGGUGAUCCUGAUUACCUUUUAUCUAUUUUAUUUGCAGGCCUUUCCUAAUCAAUCAGCCAAGCCAUUCAACUCUGUCCAAUAAUUCAUACUUAUUCACUUUGGGCCACUUUUCUUCCCUCAUGAAGUAGAUAUUCACUAAAGUUUUAUCCAUUGGGAGGAUUUCCUGUUACCAUUAUCUUUCAGGACUCCCCUAAGGUCUAUGGUAUAGAAUGCCUCCAACUGCACAGUGUCAUCCUCAAAUCUCUUUUGCUAUAAACAUACACAGAACUUGCUCAUUCAUGAAUCAAGCUUACCUUUUGUCUCCUCUGACAUCGAGUCAUAGGAGACUUCUCAUGCAGCCACAGGUGUUAGCUCUGGGAGAAAUGCUGAUAUAACGUAUUUAAAUCAAUAUUUAAGUGAAAGGCAUUAGACCUGGACACUCUGCUCGUGCAGCAAAUUAGUGUCUACUAGUCUUGCUCAUGCUUGAUCCACAUGUAUCACAUUUACAUCUUAUAAUGAAAUUCUACUGCCCCCUCCAGAGUUGUCUCUAUUUGAAGUAAGAGGGCAGCUUUUAUACUUGUACAUAUACCCUUCAUUCGAAGCAGGCUGUCCCCAUGGAAUGGGAGUGCCUAGGGUAAGGCAGCUUCCUAGCUGCUCUUAGAUGAAGAUGAUGGAGAGGCCCAGACAGAGACUCAGCUGUGAGUUGUCAGCAAUCAACACUCCUGGCAGCCAAAGGAAUGACUGCCUUGGUCCUGAAGAGAAAUCUUUAUGGCACCUCACAGCUUCUACUGCACACAUUUUAAAGGAUAAUAAGAAAGAGAUAAGGCCUAGGAAAUGGGAGAAGUUUGGAAACUCUCAACCCUGCUUGGGAUCUGAUUCCACGAUGAGUUUUUCAUUCAUAUGCUUUUUUUAAAAAAUGCUGUAGUGAAAAGUUAGGUUCAAAGCCUCUGUCUCUACCUACAAGUCUAAGUCACUUUCACAGCUGACCCAUGUAAAGACUGUGAAUAUAGAACACAUUGUCAUUCCCAAAUUUCUUAGAGGCCGUAAGUAAGAAUGACCCUUAGAGAAUAACUUGGUUUUUUUUGUUGUUUUUUGUUUUGUCAGAAUGGGAGACUAAUGCAGAAUUGUUCGUUUUCUAAGUCUCAGUUUUCUCUAUCUGUACCUUGAAAUAGCAAUAGUCCUUACUCAUAGGUUGUAACCACUUGUAUAAUCUGAGACCAUAUAGCUAGAGAGCAGAUGGAAAGGGCAUUUGAUCUCAAGGAAGAUGGUUGUAAAUUCUCCACUUUGUUCAAUCCACCAUACAUUCAUAAUUUCUACUUUUACAAAUAUUAUGCUUAAUGAAGGAGACCAUUUUUUUCAUUCAUUCAGUCUGUUCAUAUGGAUGUCUUCUCUGUACCAGGAGCAAUGCCAAGACCUGAAAAUUUGACCAUUAAGAAUACUUCCCUUCACUGAGCCUGCAGUCUAACUGGAAAGAUUCACAUUCAUGAAAUUAUUAACAAGGAAAUAAAAACAUAUUGCCACACUGGGGACUCAGCUGUGGUCUCUGUUACUUCUAGGCAGACCCUUUGAUGGUGGCAGUAACUAGAUCAAAUCUGGAGAAUAAGAUCCCAUGCUAUUGAAUCCAUAUGUAGCCAAUAACUACUCUCUUCUUGAGCCCAUUGUGCUAGCAAGGUAACAAGUUCUCUGAAACAGAGCAUAUGGUUUCAUGAAUUUGUAUAAUAGUGGAAGUCAUGGAAGAUUUUGCUAAAGUAAUAUGUGCAGCAUAUAAGAAGCACUAAGAGUGAAUUUGUAGAAAAAAUGUUUUUAAGUAUUUCAGGCAGAGGAAACAAUACAUGCUGAGAAGCCUUGGUAGAAGAGGACAUGACACACAUAAAGAAUAAAAAGAAGGUUAUUCUAGCUGGAAUAGAGAGACCAAACAAGAGCAUGGCAUAAAGAGAAUCUGCAGGACAAGCAGGGCCUGACCAUAUAGGGUCAUGUUCAGGACUUUUGUCUUUACCCUGAGAGAAAUGGGAAACCACUUUUUAUUCAGAGGAGUUAAUAAUCAGAUCUGCAUUUUUAAAAGUUUCCCUAGCUACCCUGUGGAGAAUGGAUUGGCAGAGGACGAGUCUGAAUGACAGUGAAGAAUUUUGAGUCUAUUGCUGUUUUCCUGAUGAAAGAUGAUGAUAGCAUGGAUUAACUGUGCUAGCAGAGCUGGAGAAAAGCAGAUGGAUUUGAACAGAAUUUAGUCAGUAAAGUUGACAGCACUUGAUACUGGAUUACAUAUGAGCAAGAAGAUGUCCAGUAUGACUCUCUGGGUUUUUGGUUAGCACAAUUGAAUGGAAGUAGUGCCAAGAUAUAAACAUGAAAGCAUUCUCAGGCAAAAUGUGAUUAUAUAUUUAAAGAGUUCACUUGCAUACAAAGAGAAAUCUAUUACUUUAGAGCUUUUGUCAGUGUUAUGAUCCCUGAUUUUUGAAUUGUUCAUCCUUUAGGAAAUUAAUAAAAGUUAUAAAACCUCUGUCUAGACAAAAGCACUUUCCUAGUCACAAUUGUGCAUGUAUUUUGUGGGUCUGCUUCAUUCAAGUAAGUUUCUUAUCACAUGGCAUUUAUGUAGUCCAUGGAUCUGAGGCUAGGAAACCACUAAAUCUUUAUAAUGUGUACCUUGUGGCUGCACUUCUACAUUGUAGUAAACAAACUUGGAAGAUAAAGAACAUGAUCUUGCAUUGCUUCUACAGGUAUCCAUUUGUAGUAUUUUACUGUUGGUUAACAAAUGAGUAUUGAGUGAGCACUUGCAAAGCACUAUCCUAAUCUGUGGAAGGAAUUGCAAAACAUAAAUGGUCCUCUGGGAACCCAUACAAAAGCGCAUCAAUCCUAGUGACAGAACCAAACACAAGGGUCACCAUGGCACUACUGUCAGGAAAAAGUGCCACAGAGAAAAACUGCCUUCUGUCAGCUGCUCUUCACAUUUAUGGCUUUGUGUGACCUUAGGGGAAAAUAAAAAAUUUCCUUCCCCAGGGAAAGAGUCAUUUGGAUGCAGCUGCAUUUGAAAGAGAAUUGCUGACUUAGAAUCUAAUUCUAUGAUGAACAUUUUAUAAAAAAUACUAUAUAUAGCAAUUAUAUACACUACAUACUGUAUACACAUGAGACAUAAAUUAUAUGCCAAAUCAGCUCUUGUGCCAAUCUGGAAAUAUUGAAAAAAGGAUAUGUGCUUAAGUUGCAGCUGGUAGGCUUAGAAAGAAAAAUUUUUUAAAGGAAAAUCACAUACACAGAGAUAUAUCAUCACCUUCUCCAAAGAUUCUUUUAAAAUUUCACAAUCAUUUGACAUGAAAUUUAGUCUUUUUUUGGAGUUUAGUGAUAAGUUAUCAAAGAUUUCUUCCAUUUAUCUUAUUCAAAGGUAAUAACACCAAAUUACAUGUUGAGGGCUUACUGCAUGCCAAAUACUGUGCUAGCACUUUACGUACUUCAUGUCAUUUAAUCUUUACAACCAUUCAAUGAGAUAGGUAACAUUAUAAAACCCAUUCCGCUAAAAAAUAAACUAGAGUCAGAAAUGUUACAUAAUUUUCCCAGCAGGGCUUCAUUAUCAAAUAUCAAAUGUCGGAAUCCAGGUGUGUCUGACUUGGAAAUCCCAAUUAUUAUCUUACAGAUGACCACUUCACUUAAACCACAUACCCCACCAAGGUGGACAUAAUGAUUAUUUAAUGUUCAAAUCACAUGUCAUUCUUAACCACAGAAGGGAGGCAGGGAGGCAGGGAAGUGCUGGGUAGAGAAGGGUGGGGUCCCUGACAAAGGCUCCACCCUCGGGUCUGUGCCCACAGACCUAAGUGAUAACAGGCACUCCUGUUUUUGUGCCCAAAUGUUGCAUUUUCCAAGACCACUCUGGCCUGCCAUGCCCCCAUUCUGUGCCCAUAAAAAACCCGAAACCCUAGCAGGCACAGACACAAGCAGUUGGACAUGGAGAGGAGCAGAAGAGAACACCCACAGACAGAAACCAGCAGACGCUGGCAGACCAUCAACAGUGAAAUUCAGCCAGGAGCAGUGGGAGGAGAGCCCUACCGCUGGGCAAUCGGACUCCAGGGGAAGAGUACCUUCCCACUCCAUCCCCCUUCUGGCCUCCCCAUCCAUCUCACUGACAGCUAAUAAAACUUUGUAUCUAUCCUCCAAGCCCAAGUGUGACCCAAUUUUUCUGGUACACUAGGGCAAGAAUCCAGGAUACAGAAAGCCUUCUGUCUUUGUGGUAAGGCAGAGGGUCUAACUGAGCUGAUUCACACAAGUCGCCUGAAGAGGGCAAAACUGAAAGAGCAAACUGUAACACAUGCCCACUGAGGUUUCUGGAGCUGCAAACACUCAACCCUGGACAACGCCGAUGGGGUGGGAGCCCAUAAAUGCUCCACACAACCUACCCUUCUGCAUGCUUCCCCUAGGGCUUCUAGCAGCAGAGCAUGGAAGAAGCAAGCCACACCCUGUCUCACGCCCUGUGAGAGGGAUAAGGGAACUACACUCCAGUUUCAAUAACACAACUACCAAAAAUAGGUGUUGAUUCCUUGAAAACUCAAUUACAAAUAUCCUUUCAGGACCAUUGUAUUUGGAAGGUAUAGAAAAGCCCCAGGAAAUAUUCAAAUAUAAAAGUGAAUUUAAUCUAAGUCAUCUUGUUAGACUUACAUGAAUGUUUCUUUGGCAAUGGGAAAGAUAAAAAUUACUUGGGAUCUACAGGACUUAGUCAAAAAAGUCAUAGUUAUUUCCUAAAAAUACUGACCUGAGGCCAUUCAAAGCAGUAAGUAAUAUCACACAAAGUAGAAAUGUACCUUUGUGUGAAAAGUUCUUUUUAGUGAAUUUCAGUAUUUUGCCUUACAAAGCAAGUAGGACAGCUCCACUAUAUAAAUAAUGGAAGUAUAUACUUGGAAGAUGGCUGGGUUAAGAAAUGAUCAAGCAAUCUUUUUUUUUCAACAUCUAAGAACUGCAUAUUAUAAAACAAACUUAUUUCUACAUGUUAUGUAACUAUUUCUAGAGGUUAUUAAAUUUCAGAGACAACUCCUUUUGGUCUGCUUCUGAAAAUAUAUUUGAUGGAAACGAAAAGACAUGCAAGCUCUUUGCUAGUUUCUUUCUCUCUCCUUGUCAGAUGUCAUACCUAGAGAGCUGUGAAUAAACCCUCUCAAUUAUUCCAUAGCUUUUGACCCACAUGCAUAACUUAUCUCUCUUGCAUCAGUCAUUAAAUUGGUACAAGGCCAUGUUUUAUAUGGUUAAGUUCAGAGCUCAUGUGAGAGUAGAUGCUUCACUGAGGAGUUUAAAAAUGCUUCCAUUUGAAGAUCUCAGUUUUUCAUGUAGUCAUCUUCUUCAAAAAUUAUCUGUGUGGUAGAUGUCCUUUAGCAUCCUAGCAUAUACAUAUACAAGAGAAAUAAUCUGUCCCGAGAGUACCAUGUAAUCAAUAACCUAAUGUGAUACUGCAAUCAUAAGCAAUCAUAUCUAUAUAAUAAAAGAAAAACACCCAUAACAUUGCUCUCUAAAUAACCAAGAAAGUACAUUCUUAAAUCAUCUUCAGUUAUAUGGUCAUGAUAGUUUUAUGAUUGUCCAAUCAUGCAUUUAAAAGCAUCUGGGACCCUGAAGAAUUAGAGAUAUCAUUUUUUGGUUCAGUUUAACACUUUUCAAGCUCAUUGGUGUGCUCUCGUUAAAAAAAAAAAAAAAUAGUUCUCUAAGAAGGAUGGAGCUGGAAAUGAAGUUAUGCCUGCUGUUCUUUCCACCUGUAUUCCCCUUUGGUAGUCUUCAUUUAAAUUCAUACCACAUCACUUACACUUUGUCACAUCCUUGAAUUCACCUCUACAUUUUGUUGUGUGCUAUUCAUUGUACCUGCCUAUGCUGCUCUCUCCUGUCCCCACAAUCCAUACCACUGUCCUCCUGUACUGAUAUAUAAUAGCAAUAUAGGAGACCUGUGUGUAAAAGGUACAGUUCACUUCAAGAAAAACACAAUACACAGGAAUUUGAUCUCACCAAGCUGAUAAAUUAAAAGGAAAUAGAUCAUUUAAUAAAACUUAAAAUUCCAAAAUUAAUUUGUAAAGGAAGUGUCUGAUUAUGCAGCAUAUCCCCAUGCUCAAUUAUGUUGGUGGUUAAAUAUUAUUGCAACUAUUUAUUGAGUUCUAUGAAACGGGUACUGUUAUCUCCAAUUUGCAGAUUAGAAAACCAGGCCAGAGCAUUUAGGUGACUUAUUCAGAUCAAAAAAGAGUCAAGAUUAAACCAUGUCUAUUUUACUACAAAAAGAGUGUUCUUAAUCAUGACAUUUUUCUGUCUCCUCAGGACUUGCUUACAAAGUUCACAUUUAUCUAUUACCCAGCCUGAGAUAUCCUUCCGUCCCUCUCACCAUUAAGAUCCUAUCACACAUUAGGAAUGUAUUUUGCCCACACCUAACAUUUCAUUCCUUAGAAGGAGAUCAAUUAGUGUGGCUCUAGGCUCUUCUCAGAGGAGGAGGAGUGACUUAUUUGGUAAGUUUCAGAAGAGUAACUAGGCUCAGCUCAUCUUUACCUUAUUUCCUUAGGGACUGAAAAUUCUUUUAGAGAAAGAGCUAUCCUGGGGUUCUAAGUCUUACAUGGGCAGCCCAUCCAUAUGGAGAGGUGAGCCCAGUCUCCCAGUACCGUGAUCGGUGGGUAAGUCUGCCUAUUUUCAGGGGUCAGUUUCAGCAAACCCAUUUGACAUUAGACUAAGCUCCCAGCCUAGUGUCAUCAGUAUUUAUGGUGAAUACUUUUUUUCCUCCGUCUUUUGUUUCUCAACAUUUUCAGAAUCAGACAGGAAUGAGGGAGACUGUUUGAGAGGCUGCCCAAAAUCCCAGGUUCUGCUUCCUCGAAAGGCUUUUCCCAGGCCCCCAGUCAGAAAUCACCUUUCCCUUUCCUAUCUCCUCACUACUUUGUAUUUCCAUACUAGCCUUUAUACAUGUUCAUUUAUAUUAGUGGAAAAUUGUACAACUCUCUGUAUGAAACUGCAGAAGCUCAGAACUAUUUCUCUCACCCAUUUAUAAGUGCUUCUCCCAUAGUACCUAACAUAGUAUUUUGUAGAUAGUAGGACCUCAAAAACACAUGUGUUUAAUUGAAUUGAAUUGAAUUGAAUUGAAUUGUUUCUGUGCUAUGUAAUCUUUGUGUAUAGCUUUAAACUUUUUUUUUCCAUUUAUAUUUUCCUUAAUUCUGCAGUCUGUUAAGAGCCGUAGGAGAUACAAACUCCAUUUUCUCCUCUCUGCAGUAGACCACUCAGUGCAGUGAUUCAGGCACAGUGGAGAAGCUAUAAAAUUGCCAGCCUUCUGACUGACAGUGAGCCAGUUAACUGUUCCCAUUAGGAGAAUUGCCUGUUUGUUUCUCCUCAUGUUGACUAUGAUUACCCACCCUGUGCAGGCCUCCAGGAUGGAGGCAUGGAGGGUGGCCCUGAAAUUAAGAGAAGGAACUUCGAGUCUCAGAAGUGGCAAUACCCCCAUGUUUGAAGCUGUGACAUCUUCAGGAGUAGCUGGGAGCCAGCUGCCAUUAAGUCUAUUUUAGGCAUGAGGAAACCUAGCAUUUUUAACAGAAAAUGGAGUCUUGUUGCAUAUCUUACAGUUUUAUUCCAAAUGACUAUGAACAUGACAGUUUUUCUGAAGCAAUGAAUUUAACACCUAGCAUUUUAAGAGCUUGAGCUUAUUGCUGAAGCACUAAUUAAGCUUUACAGAUGAGAGACUAAGUGACUCACUAGAGGUGACAGAGAACAUCAGUGAUGGGACUUUCGGAUGUCAUAAGGGCCUAUGGGGGGGUUGGAGUUGUUCAUUCAGCAUUCUUCUUUAUUUGAAGCUAUUCUGUAGCUAAUAAUAAUCUAGUUCAUUCAUUUACUCACUCAUUCAUCCAUUAAUGCAUCUAUGCCUUAAAACAUUCAAUAAGCUUUUAUUGGGCACUUACUCUGUAUAAAAUCCAAUAGGAAUUGCUAAAGACAGAUAUAGGCAAAUCAUUGUUUCUGCCUUUAAGGAGCCCACAAUGAAUGACAGAUCAGAAAAUGAAUUAGUAUAGUACCUAGUGAUAAAGUCUAUAAUAAGGUAAGGGAGCUAAGAAAGGAUAAAAGAGAGGUUCUAACUAUCCUGGGUCUAGAACAAUCUCAUAAAGGAUAUGAGGUUUGAGCUGAACAUUGAGACUUUAGCAGGCAUUAACAAGAAACAAAAGAAAAUGGUGUGCAGCUUCCAGUGUUUCUGGGGCAGAAUAUUUCUCUGGAGAGCGGUAUAGCAGAUUAGGAGAACUGAGCACCAGCUAAGGCCAGAUUUUGAAGAAGCCCAUAGGCCAUGCUAAGCAAGUAUUUCGGACUUUCCUGUUGCUCACAGGGAGCUGCUUCAAAGGGGAGGAUCAUGUUAUAAAAUUUACAUUAUAAAAAGUUUAUUGUAGAACCAGAUUGUCGAUUGUUGUCGUAUUCCUUGUCUAAUAGGAAAAGACUCCUGUUUAAGAGAUUUUUAUGAUAGAAUAACAGAACAGAAUCCUGAUUAAAUGCCUGGUUUUGGGGCUUGUAAGUCAUAGAAAAGAGACAAGUGGGAACUCAGGAUAAACCCUAAAAUUCCAGCUUAAAUACAUGAGUGAAUGCACAUCUAUCACAGUGUUAGAAAAUACAAAAUGAAAGUAGAUGUUGAGAUUGAAGUCUGUAAAAUACCCAGAUGGCAGAGAGCAGACAUAGCAAAGAGAAGGUGAGAAGUAUGAUCAGGAGGUAUAAAAUAGUCAAUGAUAAAGAGAUAUUGGUUAAAACUAUGGAUGUAGGUGAAAUCUUUGCUAUAUCCAACCAUAUUUCUAAUUGCUUUGGCUGCAUAGUGAUUUGUACUUUUAAUAAGAAGGUCACUUUAAGUUUAUUCUACAUGGCUAAAGUAACUAUUAUUUUUUGAAACACCACACACCAAAAUUUUGACACAUUUAUACAUUAUUCUCACAAAUAUGGGAAAAUGACUACAUGGAUAAAUACAAUAAUUAAAUUAUGUAAAAAUGUGACCCUUUCUCCAGUGAUCAAGAAAAAAAUAAAACUAUGGUUAUGGUAGAAAAAGUGUUUGAUUUAAGCCUCUAUUUAACUUUAUUAGAAAUAUACUAUCCUCUCCUACACCACCUUUUGUGCUGCUCUCCUCAUCCAGCCCCCUUCUCAGCCCAUCACUCUCUGCAAUUUGAAGGGCUUAACGUUAGUUUCCACCCUCUCUUCAAGUGUCAGUGGAAACUUAUUUACAGAAGACCUUAAAGGCAGGGAGCCUCUUUGUGCUUUACAAACUUCACAUAUCAGACUAAAAAAUUGAUCCAUAGGCUGGUUUUAAAUUGCUUCUUGUCCAAACUCUACCUAUUUAGGUUCCAUCUAAAGAGGUAAACAAAACCACUGAGCAGAAAGAUGAAUAAAGAGGUGAAGUCGAAAUUGAAUGUGGAUUCCACAAUUAUAGAAUUUCCUUUUAAUUCUCAGUGCAGGUUGUACCUCUGGCCAAGAAACCUUGUAUGGCCCCCUCUUACUGCCAACCCAACCUGAUUUAUAAUAAAAGAGCACUUUCCACACCACAUCAGAACAGCUUUUAUCUGUCUGUGACUGAAGUGACAAAUCCUUGAGGGGAGGGACCUUGUCAUUCAUUUGAGGCAUCUCCACACCUACUGUGACAUCAAAUCCAAAAUAGGCACUCUCAGCAGUUUUCAGAAUUUAGUUAUUUACCUAUCAAUGCCAAAUUAUGAUGAUCCUUAGGAAUUAGGAAAUUUUUAAAAAUAAAUUGUAAUUAAUUCAUUUCAGAACUCAUUUUUUUAAAAAAAAUAAAGCAGCAUGAAUAAAAAUAUCACUGGGGAGUUGUGCAUAAUAUCCUAUUUUAAUGAAUGAAUCUAUUUCAUGAUAUUACUUUUUUGUUCAAGGUUUAUAAUAUGCCUUCCCAUAAUGAUGGAGUUUCUUUUCUCCCAAAAAGCAAAUGGAUUUCUGUUCAAAAACAAAAUGUGGACAAUUAAGUUAGAAUCAAAUAUCUGAAAUUCAGGGUAAAGCAAGUUUCUCAUAUUGUAAAACCAUUACUGUAAUAAAAAAAGUUGAUUUAAUCAUAAAGCAGAAAAUAAUAAAACUGUGAUGCCUCUGUUAUAUAUGCUCAGUUGUAUUCUUAUGUAUCUGAGUUUAAAAAAAUUUACUACCAGAUAAGAAUCAUCUCUGUGUUAUAGACAUUUUCAUAGAUUUUUAUCAGCGCCUCCCUUGCUGUGUUAUGUAUUUGGUUUUAUGUUAUUUACCCAGUUGGAGAACAAGCUCCUAAAGGACAGUUUAUUUUGAUUCCCCAGUACCUAUGACAAUGUCUGGCAUAAGGAAGGAACUUUAAAUAUAUCUCUUCAAUAAAGGACAAAACAAAAAAAAAAUGUUCUUUUAAUUUUGGAAUAAAGAGAUCAGGCCUGUUUAUACCUCCCUGGCUUAGUCUUAGAUAGUGUCUGCUGGUUAUUCGUAUCGCUAUGCUCCACAGCCAAGCCUCUGACUUCUUGGCAAGAACAGUGCACAGGUAGGAAGUCAGUGAAGGUCAUGAACUGACGUCAGACACCAGAAGGCAUAGGCGUGACCUUAAAGCUGAGCAGGUAGAAGAAAAACAGAGCUGGGGAUCAGAAAGUGAUCUGCUAAAGCUGAAUCCAGAUGAAAGGGAAAACAACAGUGUCUUAGGGACUGUCUAAGAUCAGCAUCUAAAGAAGUUGAUGAGUGACAAAUUAAGAAAAUUAGCCAGUUUAUCUGCAGUAUACAAGUUCUUCACACCAAAACCACACGAGCCCAGAAUAAGCCAUGCUUUCUUAGUAUUUAUACUGUUCCUUUCACCUAUAACUUACUUUCAUCACUUCAGUUCUUCUGCCAUUUUUGUAUGGCUUAUACAUCUCAGUUAUUCUCUAAGAAGUCUUCACACCUCGAAACUACACUGGGAACACUUUCUAUAAGGUCAUAUCGUUCUUUGUGCUGCCAAACCCAUCAUAGUGUCUGGAAAUAGUUCAUUCAGGGACGUGUUUUACUAAUUUUUCUGAAAGUUGAACUUAUUCCCAGUAGCUAGAGCUUAACACAGUGCCUAAUACAGAGCAGGCAUUUGGUAAAUAUUUGUUGAAUGAAAUAAGGAGGCAUGUUUUGUUUUUACAAAUGGGAAGGAAACUACUGAAACAUUGAGUAGCCUAUUUAGUAUCACAGUUAGCAGUAUCUAGUAUUUAUUUAUUCAACAAAUAUUUAUCAAGUUCCCAGGUACUGUACUAGAUUCUGUGAGCAUUACGUUAUUAAUUUUUUAAUCUUACAAUGACCCCUUUCAUUUCGUGUCCGUUUUAUAUGGGUGCUUUUAGUAUUUUAACAUUAAUGAUAACAAUAAAUAUGUAGAUUUGGUUCUUUUGUCUCACAUGUUGCAGCUAAUGAAAGCAUGUCUCAUGGAGGUUAACUAACUGUUCCAGGUCUAAUCACCUAACAAGAUGAGGUGCUAGAAUCAAACCCAGGUCUCUCUGAUCCAAAGACAAUUAUUUCCCUACUAUGCAACUAUGAAUAUUUAUAAUUAAUAUAAUUUUCUAAUUUUGUGAGCAAAUAAAAUAGAGAGAUUUUGUUCAUCUUUGAUGUCUUUGACAAUAGUGAAUAAAUAAUUGGAUGAUUUUGUUUCCUUUGGAACUUGUCUAUAUAACUAAACAAAAUUCUCAGGACUAGUAAAAAAAUUUCUAGCUAGAUCUCUCUAUGUACCUUAAUUACUUUUCAUUAGGCUAUAUUUAAUUAAGAAAGCAAAUAGGCCUUAUUAAAAUUUAAGAAUUCCAACUUUUAGUCAAUAUUUUAUGGAUGCUAUUGAGCUUUGUACUGAAAUCCACAGUAUAUUUUUCUCAGUUCUUAUCUGGGCUUCAUAGGGCCAAAGCAUCAGAAAAUUAGUUUUCUUAUUGUCCAUUUGCCCUUAUUAUAGUUGUAAAUAUCCUCUGAUACCCCAAUAGUGGGAAUAAAAUGAUUUAAUAUUAAGUACAAUUAAGGAAAAUUGAAAGAGAUUAUGUAAUAACUAGUUGUUGAAAUGUAAACUAUAUUUUAUCCACUAUUUAGUGCCUUCAGGACAUCUAUUUAAACUGAUUCUGAGUUUAAAUAUUUACUAUUUACAUCCAGUACUGAGGGAAGAUCUUUAUAGAGCUUCACUUUUACAGAACUAUAAUCACACUUGUCACUGCUCUCCUCACUUUGUCCAAGACCUUUCCAAAGUGCCCAAGCUUCUUGACCUCUUAAUGUAAAUGGAUAUUUAUAUGCAAAACCUGUGAAUGUGUGUAUGUGAAUACAUGUAGUGAAGGAAAGCAAAAGAUUAAAAAUUAAAUCAAGGUUAAAAUUAAAUAUUUGGGACUUCAGAAAAAGCUGUGUUAGGGCGGAAGGAAGAUUGCAAUUGUAACAGAGUUCUAAAUUUGAUUCUCAGUACUAUCACUAUCUCAUAAUCUUAAUUAAAAUGUCUGAAGAGUCUUGACCCUUACUUUUCUCAUAUAGAGUUUAGUAAUACUAAUAAAUAGUUAACUAGCAGGAGAACUCAGAUGAGUUAAUUAAAUAAUGUUGCUGACAGAGGUUUUGUAAAUAUAAAGCACCCUACAGGGUUAUAUAUAGUAUUGAAAAUUACCAUUUUUCCUAGUGCAACUAUAUAGAAAUAGGUUUAGAUGCAGAGCACAUAUAAUUCAU